AAUAAACAUAGCUGUUGUUCAUAAGCAAAACAGAAUUUUUUUUCCUAGUUAAACAGGAACACCAAAUAAAACAACCAAAAGCACAAUCAAACGUGUCAUAUCCCAAAGCUAAAGCCCCCAUUUCAGUUUUACAAAACGUUAAAGAUCCCAGUUUGCUCAGUCGCCACCUGAGCUUCAAAAGAUUGUCCUCCAUCAUUACUCUCAUCCAUAUGCGUGGAAGUUGCUGGCCCACUACUUAUAACAACUGUUUCAGAUUGCAGCCCCACAUCGGAGGUGGGCAUGAACUGGAAACUUUGUUGUUCUUCAUGUGGUUGGCUCGAUGAUGCUCCAUUCCCUCUAUCCGGCACCAUUUUUAUCUGAGGGUGGAAAUGUUUAUUCAAUGUGUUGCAGCGCAUAUCAAUCGUGUGCUUUCCCACUUCAAAAAAACCUCUCAUUUCCUUAAAUUCAAUCAAGCUCCAGUAUAUGCCAUUGCAAAAAUUUAAAGCACUACUCCUUCAGUUAUUCGUUCCAUUAAGACUGUUACAAAUUCAAUUAGAUUUAACAAAUGGAAUACUUCUCAUAUGGGUUGACACCAUUUAUAAUACGUAUCUUCCAAGUAUAGCUCACAACAAAUAAUCGAACUCAAAACUCAUAUUCUCCAAAAACAUUAGUCAAUAGGUACUUGUUGCAACUUUGAUGAGCAUUGUGUGGAUAAGGCAAACAAAUGAUACAUUACAAACUUCAUUUCUCAACAGCAACAGCAGAGAAUGGCAAAAAAAUCACAAGUAUCCGGGAAGAACCUAAAAUCCUUCUUUUUAUGGAAGCAAAGUAAAAUCAAAACUCUAAAAAUAUUUUUAAACCACCAAAUAUACAUACAAGCAUUCCAUCAUAGAUUCCUGAGUGUCUCAUCCUCGAAACUGGGUUUAUUUUGAAAUAAAAAUAAAAAGGUCUAUUGCUACACAGGCAAUCCCACAACCUUUAUCUUUUUGAGAAAUUCAUAUCGUAUCAUCUUUGGCAUUGAAUUCAAUUCACUAGGGGAAGAGGCUAUAAGUACAAUACACAAAAUGAAAGCAUCGGUUGAUUUGAUCUUGUGGAUUUUUGCGCUCAGGAAAGCAAAAACUCAGAAAAGACGAAGAAAAAAAGGUUUGGGAAUUACCUCCAUGUGCACAGCUUCAAAAAUCCAAGCUUUGUGGUCUGUUGAGUGGGGCCUCAAUUGUGGGGGCAGAAUCGAUUUGGGGUUAGGGUUUAGAAGGAUUUGAAGUUUCAAGCUUUGGCGUUGUGAAUGAAGAAGGCAUAUUAUGAUUUUAUUUGGCUGAGG
Molecule: long non-coding RNA, 1297 nt
Filed under: Olea europaea subsp. europaea
Lineage: Eukaryota; Viridiplantae; Streptophyta; Magnoliopsida; Lamiales; Oleaceae
Source: RNAcentral